GUGCUUGCUUUGGCAGCACAUACACUAAAAAUGGAGCUAUACAAAGAAGAUUAGCAUGGCCCCCGUGCAAGAAUGACAUAUACAAAUAUAUAUAUACACACAUACAU
Nycticebus coucang (slow loris) is the source of this 107-nucleotide small nuclear RNA. NCBI's taxonomy places the organism in Eukaryota, Metazoa, Chordata, Mammalia, Primates, Lorisidae. The record is from RefSeq and is a predicted model, not a curated record.